UUUAGGAAUAUCUCUUAUAGUAAGGUAUAUUUUAAUUUAUUCCUGCUUUACCUACUUGCGUAUAUAGGUUUAUAGGAUUGAUCACCUUUUCUCUUUUUUUUCCUUCCUUCCAGGGCAGCAUUUAAUAACCCUGGAUGCAGACUGGAAUCCCCUUUCAAAAAUCAACUUAAUGCCCAGUGAAUCAUGGAAUACUACAUCAAAAACUAAUGAUGUAAUGUAUGGUGACUAACAUAACAUAAUAAAAAAAAAAAAAUCAACUUAAUGCCUAAACUUUACCCCAGAAUCUCAGGGGAGGAGAGUGGUAUCAGUAUUUUUUAAAAGAGUCUGGUAUGUAGUCAGAAUUGAAAACCCUAGUGUCAUACUAUUUCUAUUCCUGCAGUGUAUUCCUUUAAAUUCUCAUCCAUCAUAUUAAAUUUAUAGUCUUUUAUCAGACAGACUGAAACAGUUGUAGCAGUCAAGGUAAAAUCAGAGUGAUAAAGUAUAAGGGACUUACUGUGGGGAUUUAACCUUACACAGCUGUGAUUGCAGGUGGAAAAAUCUGCUGCCCUGCAUCUGGUGUUGGGCCUGAAGUCAUAAAUAAGUUUGCCAGAUCCACAGCUGGGAAGAAAAGCUGAACAAGAACAGGAGCAGGAGCAAACCGGAAACUGCUAGAAAACAGACACAGAGCUUGCAUCUGUCUCUCAUCACUCUGCCUUAGAUGACUCAGAUGAUGCCUGCAGGUGUAACCGGCUCUCUUGGCUACAGAACUGCACGUAUCUUUGGCUCAGGACUCAGAGAAGUUGGAGGACAUGUGGCAGGACCUGGAGGAGCCAUGGGCUGGGUGCUGCCCCACGCCAGCAAGGUGAACCAGGAGAUAGCAAUGUGCAUGAGAUGGAAAAAGUAAAGCUGUUUCCUUAUCUGCAAAGGAAGAACUCUAAACCCAGAAUGAACCAUCUUAUUCUUAGAUGCACAGUGUUUGAUACACUCCAAGGAUUCAGCGUUUGUUGAACUGAAUCGAGAUAAAAUGCAGUUCAAAUUUCAUGAAAGUCUUUAUAGAGUGUCAAUUUUAUACAAGGUGCAUUUUGAAGAUUAUAUUUGGCUUCUAUUUUUACUUUUUUUUUACAGUGAUAAAGGGUAAAGGCAAAAGAUUUAUCAUCCUUUAUUCCCCAGAUCACUAGAUUGAAGUAAAUAGCAGUUGUCAGUAAUUAACAGCAGUAAACCUGAUGUCAACAUUUCUCAAGACUAAGCUCCACAAAGCCGUUGAAAGGAAGAGAUAUUAACAUCAACUGGUAAGUAUUCAUGAGGUACCUACUGCCUGUUUAAAAAUAUUUUAUAAACUGUAGGACAGUUUACAGGUGUGAAAUAGUUUCAUUACUUUGGUGACUACUAACUAGUACUACUACCCUUAUUAUAUGGCUCCGUGUGAGUCUUAUGAAAGUACACAAAUAAAUGUGUUUGGAAAUAAAAGUCUAGUUAAAUAGGAUGUAGGUAAAGCAUAUCAGAUAAAGUUCACUAGAACACAAUUUUAACAGUGUUAGUUUUAUGAACUUGCUGUCACAAUUAACAGGAGGAACCAGGGGCCUCUCUUAAGAGGGAGUAGUAGGGAAGGACAUUUUAAAAGGUAGAGUUUGGAAUAGUUCUAAAGAGGAACCAGGGGGAGUGGGGAUCACCUCUGGAUUGAUUAUCACAGUAAUCUUUGCUUAGGAAGUGAGAGAGCAAAGCAGGUCUGGGGAAGUUCUGGUGAGAAAGCCCAAUUAAAAAAAAAAAAUAUAUAUAUAUAUAAAUAUAUAAUAUUAAAAACCAUGUCAGUGCUCACAAUAGCCUAAGGGUGGAAGCAACCCAAGUGUCCAUCAACUGACGACUGGAUCAACAAGAUGCCAUGUGCCAUAUAUAUAUAAUGAAAUAUCAGUCAGCCUUAAAAAGGAAGAUAAUUAUGAUGCACACUGUAACACGGAUGAAAUUUGAGGACAUUGUGCUAAGUGAAAUAAGCCAGACAUAAAAGGACAAAUAUUGUGUGAUUCCACCUAUAUGAGAUACUUCGUGUAGUCAAAUUCAGUGAGACAGAAAGUAGAAUGGUGUUUGCCAAGGGC
Molecule: non-coding RNA, 2069 nt
Organism: Callorhinus ursinus (northern fur seal)
Lineage: Eukaryota; Metazoa; Chordata; Mammalia; Carnivora; Otariidae
Source: RefSeq, a predicted model, not a curated record